ACCAGAGGUACAGAGUAAGUUGUGAAGUCCCGCGGUGGCGAUUAUCGUAAUAUUUCCCAUCCAUCCGUGCGUCAGGAGGGCUGCGGGUCGUGUGGUGGUGCAUCACAGCGUCAGACUCACAGAGGAUGUGUAGCCGAGGCAAUGACACGUGGACGGCGCUGAUGGCGGCCAGAACCUCUUGGGCGUCUUGGUCACACACGGCCAGGCUGAGCACCCCCAGGUCCCGCCACUCCUGCAGCAGCUGUGUGCCGGCACCACUUAAGUGACCCAUGAACCUCUCAAGAAACAGUUGGCCAAAAUAAUAAUGGCAGAAGUAAGACUAAGCUUUGAAGAAAGAAACAUGUCAUAAAGUGUUACUGGAGGCACGAAAAUGUCAAAGAAGUGCAAAGACAAUUCAGAAGACACUUUGACAGGGAUCCACCAAGGUGACGCGCCAUUGCUCGCAUCACAGCUAAAAAUGAUGGUAGGGCUGGCAGCGAUGUGAGUGAGGAGGACGCCACAAGCGGAGUCACUGGCAGUAGUGCUGACGGAGUGAUAAGAGGUGGAAGUAGUGCCAGUGGAAGAGGAGAUGGAGCAGGAAAAAAGCAUUAGUACCGCCGCCACCGCCAGCAGGAGGAAGGGGGAGAGGCGACUCCAGGAAGUACAACAUCCCAGCAGUGAGCUGAAGAAGCUUGACCAACUGUUUGUUUCCGAGGACGACAAGGUGACGUAUGAUCGCCGCCAGACGCCUUCUUACACAGCAGGUAACGAUCGCCACCACCACCACCACCACCACCACCACCACCUCCACCUCCACCACCACCACCACCACCACCACCACCACCACCACCACCACCAUCAAGAGGUGAAGUCCAAUGUAAGUAGCACUAAGUACUUUCAGUGUCUGGUGUUGUGUAUUUCAGCCACGAGGUGACGCGGCAAGGUGGGCAGCCCUCAUCACUGCUUACCUGCUUGGCCUGCAUGCCACUUUGACACUUUGGUGAAGUUUGCUGUAGUCGCUGGAAUUUUGAGAUGCUGAAUUCAGGGAUUGAAAAAUGGCGAAAUGAGCAUUCUGAGGAGCCCGGUGGAGGCACCACCACCUCCCCGCAGCACCUUGACGAGUGUGGUCACUGUGUUUCACCUCCACACGGCUGCCUUCGACUUAUGGAAAUGCCUUUAUUUUGUACUUUUCAUUUAUUUUCCUUGCUCUGGUUUGACCCGCUUACCGACUUGCUCCACGCCGCACGGCACGCGCGAAUGCUGCCUGCCAUCUUGAUUCACCUUUGUUCGGCGUGCAUCGGAGUCGGCGAUUAUCCUGUGCUUGGUUUUUCUACUGUAAGGAGAAAAACCUUUCUGUAAGUAUUUGUUUUUAUUUAAACAAAUACUUACAGAAAGGCUUAAAAUUGCACGUUGAGUAUGGAAUUGUUUUAAAAGCCUAUGAUAGUAUACAUACUAUACAUACUUAACAUAAAGAUAAUAAUACUAAUACAAUAAUACAGUAAAAACUUAAAGCGCCAGUGGGGACAGGUGCGUGCUACGCCAGCUGUGGGCUGCCAGCUUCACCUGGUGUGUGGACAUGUCCUGCACUUGGGGCGUGGCCGCUGUGAACAUGUUCCACAGCCGCGAAGUCCUGGCUGUGUAGGUGCGCUGGUGUUGGCUAGAGCGAGAUCGAGGCACCUUCACUAGCUCGUCGCUACUGGCUGCAGCUCUGGUGCACCUCUGCACUGUGUGUGGCAGCAGCCUCAGGGGGUCAAGGUGAGGGACCCUCUGCACCUGAGUUUUGUGGCACACCACUAGUGCCGACACGUCCCGGCGGUGCUCCAGUGACGUUACUGGUGGUGGGUGAUGUUGAUCGUCGUCGGUGGCCACCA
Long non-coding RNA from Scylla paramamosain (green mud crab), 1850 nucleotides. RefSeq lists it as uncharacterized. Lineage: Eukaryota; Metazoa; Arthropoda; Malacostraca; Decapoda; Portunidae. The record is from RefSeq and is a predicted model, not a curated record. The transcript has 5 exons.